GGUGAGUAACACGUGGAUAACCUACCUAUAAGACUGGGAUAACUUCGGGAAACCGUAGCUAAUACCGGAUAAUAUUUUGAACAGCAUGGUUCAAAAGUGAAAGACGGUCUUGCUGUCACUUAUAGAUGGAUCCGCGCCGCAUUAGCUAGUUGGUAAGGUAACGGCUUACCAAGGCAACGAUGCAUAGCCGACCUGAGAGGGUGAUCGGCCACACUGGAACUGAGACACGGUCCAG
Molecule: ribosomal RNA, 235 nt
Filed under: uncultured Staphylococcus sp.
Lineage: Bacteria; Bacillati; Bacillota; Bacilli; Caryophanales; Staphylococcaceae
Description: partial 16S ribosomal RNA
Rfam family: Bacterial small subunit ribosomal RNA
Source: RNAcentral